This 156-nucleotide unclassified non-coding RNA is filed under the name uncultured fungus. Its description in RNAcentral is "sequence contains ITS1". The record is from RNAcentral. Lineage: Eukaryota; Fungi.
UUGACAUUUUUCCUUAAGACAGACAAAGCAAAGACUCGAUGCAUAAAGGCGGCGCCUCUCGACGCCGAAGCACGUCUGUCGUCCACGGUGGUUUGAGGGUUGAAGAUCAAGGAUGACCAUUCGUUAAUGAUCCCUCCGCAGGUUCACCUACGGAGA